This 492-nucleotide ribosomal RNA is filed under the name uncultured bacterium. RNAcentral's name for it is "partial 16S ribosomal RNA". It matches the Rfam family "Bacterial small subunit ribosomal RNA", at positions 29 to 507 of the family's 1533-position model. The record is from RNAcentral.
AGUGAGCGCUGGCGGUAGGCCUAACACAUGCAAGUCGAACGGCAGCACAGUAAGAGCUUGCUCUUGCGGGUGGCGAGUGGCGGACGGGUGAGGAAUACAUCGGAAUCUACUUUUUCGUGGGGGAUAACGUAGGGAAACUUACGCUAAUACCGCAUACGACCUACGGGUGAAAGCAGGGGAUCUUCGGACCUUGCGCGAUUGAAUGAGCCGAUGUCGGAUUAGCUAGUUGGCGGGGUAAAGGCCCACCAAGGCGACGAUCCGUAGCUGGUCUGAGAGGAUGAUCAGCCACACUGGAACUGAGACACGGUCCAGACUCCUACGGGAGGCAGCAGUGGGGAAUAUUGGACAAUGGGCGCAAGCCUGAUCCAGCCAUACCGCGUGGGUGAAGAAGGCCUUCGGGUUGUAAAGCCCUUUUGUUGGGAAAGAAAAGCAGCAGGUUAAUACCCCGCUGUUCUGACGGUACCCAAAGAAUAAGCACCGGCUAACUUCGUG